This 490-nucleotide ribosomal RNA is filed under the name uncultured bacterium. RNAcentral's name for it is "partial 16S ribosomal RNA". It matches the Rfam family "Bacterial small subunit ribosomal RNA", at positions 30 to 507 of the family's 1533-position model. The record is from RNAcentral.
AUUGAACGCUGGCGGCAGGCCUAACACAUGCAAGUCGAACGGUAACAGGAAACAGCUUGCUGUUUCGCUGACGAGUGGAGGACGGGUGAGUAAUGUCUGGGAAACUGCCUGAUGGAGGGGGAUAACUACUGGAAACGGUAGCUAAUACCGCAUAACGUCGCAAGACCAAAGAGGGGGACCUUCGGGCCUCUUGCCAUCGGAUGUGCCCAGAUGGGAUUAGCUAGUAGGUGGGGUAACGGCUCACCUAGGCGACGAUCCCUAGCUGGUCUGAGAGGAUGACCAGCCACACUGGAACUGAGACACGGUCCAGACUCCUACGGGAGGCAGCAGUGGGGAAUAGUGCACAAUGGGCGCAAGCCUGAUGCAGCCAUGCCGCGUGUAUGAAGAAGGCCUUCGGGUUGUAAAGUACUUUCAGCGGGGAGGAAGGGAGUAAAGUUAAUACCUUUGCUCAUUGACGUUACCCGCAGAAGAAGCACCGGCUAACUCCGUG